AACGCUGGCGGCGUGCCUAACACAUGCAAGUCGAACGGAGAUUAGACGCUGACGAGACUCGGUCAAUCUGUUAAUCUUAGUGGCGGACGGGUGAGUAACGCGUGGGCAACCUGCCUCAUACUGGGGGAUAGCAGUUGGAAACGACUGAUAAUACCGCAUAAGCGCACAGCAUCGCAUGAUGCAGUGUGAAAAACUCCGGUGGUAUGAGAUGGGCCCGCGUCAGAUUAGCUAGUUGGUAAGGUAACGGCUUACCAAGGCGACGAUCUGUAGCCGGACUGAGAGGUCGGACGGCCACAUUGGGACUGAGACACGGCCCAAACUCCUACGGGAGGCAGCAGUGGGGGAUAUUGCACAAUGGAGGAAACUCUGAUGCAGCGACGCCGCGUGAAGUGAAGAAGUAUUUCGGUAUGUAAAGCUCUAUCAGCAGGGAAGAAAGGCUCGUAAGAGAGAUGACGGUACCUGACUAAGAAGCCCCGGCUAACUACGUGCCAGCAGCAGC
Molecule: ribosomal RNA, 499 nt
Filed under: uncultured bacterium
Lineage: Bacteria
Description: bacterial SSU rRNA
Rfam family: Bacterial small subunit ribosomal RNA
Source: RNAcentral